AGAGUUGAUUCUGGCUCAGGAUGAACGCUAGCGGCAGGCCUAACACAUGCAAGUCGAGGGGCAGCGCGGGGUAGCAAUACCCUGGCGGCGACCGGCGCACGGGUGCGUAACGCGUAUGCAACCCACCCGCAACAGGGGCAUAACGGAGGAAACUUCCACUAAUUCCCCGUAUUGUCGUUAUUCCGCAUGGGAUGAUGACGAAAGCUUCGGCGGUUGCGGACGGGCAUGCGUGACAUUAGCUAGUUGGCGGGGCAACGGCCCACCAAGGCUGCGAUGUCUAGGGGAGCUGAGAGGCUAAUCCCCCACACUGGUACUGAGACACGGACCAGACUCCUACGGGAGGCAGCAGUGAGGAAUAUUGGUCAAUGGACGGAAGUCUGAACCAGCCCAUGCCGCGUGGGGGAAGGAGGCCCUACGGGUCGUAAACCCCUUUUAGCCGGGAGUAAUAAGGGUCCUGCGGGGCCUGAUGAGAGUACCGGCGGAAUAAGCAUCGGCUAACUCCGUGCCAGCCGCCGC
Molecule: ribosomal RNA, 516 nt
Filed under: uncultured bacterium
Lineage: Bacteria
Description: bacterial SSU rRNA
Rfam family: Bacterial small subunit ribosomal RNA
Source: RNAcentral